Long non-coding RNA from Canis lupus familiaris (dog), 685 nucleotides. RefSeq lists it as uncharacterized. The record is from RefSeq and is a predicted model, not a curated record. The transcript is spliced from 3 exons. Lineage: Eukaryota; Metazoa; Chordata; Mammalia; Carnivora; Canidae.
ACAAGACUGGAAGACCUCUGAAAGUGUUGAACUAAAUUUCCUUUGAUAAGAGUACAAAUUACACUUUAUUAGCUGCUGGUACAAUGGAACACAUAGUCAUAAUACAGAGAAAUCAGACUUAUCUCACUAAAGGCAAACAUUAACCAAUCUUUUUCUCAUUUUGGGUGCCUGAUUCCAUUUUAGAAGUCAAUAAAUGCAAGUCCUUAGAGGCAUCACACUUAAAUUAGAGUAAAAUGAAAGGAAGAAAAUACCUGAAUAUCCUGUAGUGAGUGACAAAGGAUUUGGAGAUGGUGAAUAUUGGAGACAUUGUAUGGAUUAAGAAUCACCUGAAUUGUUCUAAUAAAGCCUUACUACACAAGGAUUAAAUACACAUCUGAGAAGAUUUUUUUUGCCCCCAAAUUCUAGUAAUGGUAAGGAAGUGUUUACCUAAAUUGGCACAGUAUUUGGAAUCCAUGACCAAAGGUAAAAGACAUAGCUGGAAGCAGGGGUGAGACCCCUCCCAGGGAAUGAGAGAAAUAUAAACAGGGGACAACGGGAUUCUCUCAGAACUUCAAACCCUAGCCUUGUACUGGCACAGCUCAGGCAUUUAUUCUGGUUUUGCUAUUGUUUAACCAACCAAAAAAAAAAACAAAAACAAAAAACUUUUCAUAAGCUUUUCAAACUAGCAAUUAAAGAUGGAAUUGAA